GAUGAACGCUAGCUACAGGCUUAACACAUGCAAGUCGAGGGGCAGCAUGAUCGAAGCUUGCUUUGAUUGAUGGCGACCGGCGCACGGGUGAGUAACGCGUAUCCAACCUUCCCUAUAGUAGAGGAUAGCCCGGCGAAAGUCGGAUUAAUUCCCUAUGUUCUUGACAGCAGACAUCUAACGUCAAGCAAAGAUUCAUCGCUAUGGGAUGGGGAUGCGUCUGAUUAGGUUGUCGGCGGGGUAACGGCCCACCGAGCCUGCGAUCAGUAGGGGUUCUGAGAGGAAGGUCCCCCACAUUGGAACUGAGACACGGUCCAAACUCC
Molecule: ribosomal RNA, 320 nt
Filed under: uncultured Prevotella sp.
Lineage: Bacteria; Pseudomonadati; Bacteroidota; Bacteroidia; Bacteroidales; Prevotellaceae
Description: bacterial SSU rRNA
Rfam family: Bacterial small subunit ribosomal RNA
Source: RNAcentral